RNAcentral lists this ribosomal RNA (233 nucleotides) under uncultured eukaryote. RNAcentral describes it as "partial 18S ribosomal RNA". It matches the Rfam family "Eukaryotic small subunit ribosomal RNA", at positions 1208 to 1456 of the family's 1831-position model. The record is from RNAcentral.
GGAAAACUCACCAGGUCCAGACAUAGGAAGGAUUGACAGAUUGAGAGCUCUUUCUUGAUUCUGUGGGUGGUGGACGUGGUGCAUGGCUGUUCUUAGUUGGUUGAGUGAUUUGUCUUGUUAAUUCCGAUAACGAAUGAGACUCUCUCCUGCUAAAUAUUGUCUGCUUCUCUGUUGAGCAGACAAUUCUUCUUAGAGGGACUGGCGACUCUUAUUCGCACAAGAUUGAGCAAUAA